AGCAAUUUGUAAAAAAAACACUUUUCUAAAAUUAAAGGUGAUUCAAUCAUUGUUCAUCUAACUGGUGCAUGUUUGCCUUGAUACAGAGUCAGAGAACUUACAAAGGAUUCUUAUGUUGUUAUACUGGUACAUAUUUUAAGAACACACAUUUGUCUAAAAUUUGUUGUUUUUCUUAUGAAAAAAGCAUCUUAAUUACGUUUGAAGAGGGCAUUGUAGUGAUUAAACUGGCAUUUGGACAGUAGUAUUGACUUGAACUUUGUAAAUGACGUUUGUCUGUAUCUUAGGGAUCAUUGUUUGGUCAGGUCCUGAUCAGUGGUGGAUCCAGAAAUUUUUACAAGUGGGGGGCCCACUGACUGCCUAAGAGGGGGCCCUCUCCAGUCAUGCUUCACUGAUUCCCUAUAUAAGCAACCAAAUUUUCCCCAGAAAAGGGGGGGGGCAGGCCCCCUGAAAAACCCUUUAAAUCAACCUCUGCUGAUAAUGCUACUUUCCUAGUCGUAUAAGUUACUAUCAUGUUAUUCAUAAUAUUCAACAGGCUAAAGUUCCAACCAAUAAGUCUUUGAAGUACACAAC
This 570-nucleotide long non-coding RNA is filed under the name Mytilus galloprovincialis (Mediterranean mussel). The record is from RNAcentral. Lineage: Eukaryota; Metazoa; Mollusca; Bivalvia; Mytilida; Mytilidae.